RNAcentral lists this transfer RNA (88 nucleotides) under Candidatus Altimarinota bacterium. RNAcentral's name for it is "tRNA-Ser". It matches the Rfam family "tRNA". From Rfam's summary of the family: Transfer RNA (tRNA) molecules are approximately 80 nucleotides in length. Their secondary structure includes four short double-helical elements and three loops (D, anti-codon, and T loops). The record is from RNAcentral. Lineage: Bacteria; Candidatus Altimarinota.
GGAGAGGUCGCAUAGUGGCCUAGUGCACACCCUUGGAAAGGGUGCAUAUCGCAAGAUAUCGGGAGUUCGAAUCUCCCUCUCUCCGCCA